AGGGUCACUUAAGGAAAGGACAAGCAUUAGCUAACGUGGGGAAAAUAGAAGAAUCUUUAAGAGAGUUUCUAUUUUGCCUCGCCCUGGAUUUUGGGAACAGGACAGCCAAAUCAGAGGCUCAAAAGCUUCUACUUAGUUUAUUUUCACCCAUCCCGGGAAAUGCUCAGGAACAUUUACCCAAUAUCCUGCAGCUGUUGUCACCUCACUCUAGACUGAAGGGGAAUCUUCUAAAUUCAGUGGGAUCUGGAGACACCAGCCAUAACCUACAAAGGUUGCUCAAGGUAAAUGUGGAACAGAAAAAGAGUUUCCCUGCUCAGGAAGAACAAAAAAUGACUGACUGUAGCAGUCUGAGAAAAUCCAUUCAAAGGGUAGAAAGUAAAAAAGGCUGCUCAGAAGAUGAGAACAAACACGCCUCCGCCCCAGAGUCUGCCCUUCUCAUUUCUGAGAAAUGCAGCCUUCUGAAGAGAAAGCACUGCUCUGAGGAAAUGAGAAGUGCCGAGGUGCCCUGCAAACUCAUGAAGAAAGGUGCAAUUGAUGCCAAGGGAUCUAGUGCUGGACGCCGUGUUCCAUUUGAAUUUGUGGACCCCUCUGACCUGGAUUGCUCUUUAUGUAUGAGGUAUCCAUUAUUUUCUAACGAAUGUUUUUAUGUUGCAUCUGUUUUUCACUGCCAUGAUCUGUGGCAUUUC
RNAcentral lists this long non-coding RNA (686 nucleotides) under Chelydra serpentina (North American snapping turtle). RNAcentral's name for it is "lncRNA (ENSCSRG00000013046.1)". The record is from RNAcentral. Lineage: Eukaryota; Metazoa; Chordata; Testudines; Chelydridae.